GAGGGGUUGGCGCACCCACGUGGUGCUGGGUGAGGUAAAUACGGAGGAGCGUUGUCUGUGGGGGAGCUCGUAGCUGUGCGAGGGGGAGCGAUGGGGCUCGGUGUGCCUCAGGGGCAGGAGGUGGGGGUCUCCGCCUGAGAGGUUACUGGGGCUGCUGCUGAGCGUCCUGAGCGAGGCAGAGCCGUGCUGGCUUUGGGAGGCGCUCAGCUGGGAGCUGUGAGGCAGGCACUGCCUGUUGGCUGGGCGGAAGGGCCCUGCUGAGCAGCGCUGAGCGCUGUGCCCUUCCCUCAUGCUGCCCGGUGCGCGGGGAGCCGUGCCCUGCUCCUCAUCCCUGUGAGGUGUUCACUGGGAUCUCGUGCUUUGGCUCCCGUUACACCUACCUUAUAAACCCUACUGGCAGCGAGGCCUUGUCACCUGAAAUAAGCAAAGUUAGGCAACUCGGGGAGUGUGGGGAGGUGAGCAGCUCUGAGGUAUGGCCCUGCUGCUCCUCGUUGUGAGUUUAAUUUCUGGGCUGAGGGAAAUUAGUUUGUAAGCUAGGUGCGAGGUGAGCUGUGCCCAGCAUGGCUUUGUUGUGAACGAAUUGAGCCAAUCUCAUCUCCAUCUCUGGCAGUGCAGCAGCUUGCAGUUCUACAGCUUCUCCAGCCAUUCUAUUUCUGCACACUAGUUGGUUUUGUUGUCAUCUUUUUUGCAAGAUCAUCUCCUUUAGAGGCUUAUUGUGGAGACUGAAAAUUCUGCAGAACGUGGUGUUUCUAUUUGGAGGACAGUUCUACAUCCAGUUACUUAAUCUGAAAAGGAACAGCAGGAUAAAUAAUCACAGAGGGGAUUUGAAGUGUUGAUGUAGAAUUAUGAGGAUCAAAAAAAGAAAUGGGAAGAUGGUAUCUACCCUGGGAGUCUGGAGAUGCUCAUGCUCUUGAGUUUUGUUGCAACACAGAAAUAAAGGGUGCAUGUUGUGGUUCUGCUCCUGACACAGCUCUUUUGCCAUGCAGGAAGCCUCUGAGGAAGGCUGCCUUUCUAAAGAUUAGAUCCAAGUUGAUGGAAGUAAUCCCAGCUGACUUGGGCAGCGCUAGGUCAGACCAUAAACCAGGUGCUGGUAUGCUUGCUUAGUACCUCUGGAAUACUCAAAGUUGCCCUGCAGCUAACUGAAAAACAUGGCUUCAAUGUGAGAAGUAACUGAAGCACACAUUGGCAGUGGGUGGCAGAAGGGCCCAAGGUUUCAAAAGCAAACUGCAUGGGACCGCUGAAGAAACAGUCCAUUGAAAACCCACCUCAUGUAAGUUUUAGGCAAAGGUGGUCUCCAGCCCUUUCAAGCAGAAUUUCAAGUUGCUGAGCUCAUCCUCCAGCACCACUUGGUACUACUCAGGGUAGCACUUCCAUUGCCAGGAUCCAGCUCAGUAGAACAGUCCAUCUUUGCUCUCAUCAUUUGGCCCAAGCACACCUCAGCACCCAGCAAGUUCCCUCAUUCCUACUGAAGAGAUGGGAAUCCAGUGUUCAUCCUGAGUACCCUGCUACACCUUCUGCUUCCGUUUCCAUUUGCAAGAAGUGUUUGCUGCUUCUGUGGAAUUUAUUAAAGAUUUCUUUAAUAAAACUACUGUUG
Molecule: long non-coding RNA, 1594 nt
Filed under: Gallus gallus (chicken)
Lineage: Eukaryota; Metazoa; Chordata; Aves; Galliformes; Phasianidae
Source: RNAcentral